CCGUUUGAUGCAUUAUGGGCUAGAAAAUUGUGGGCAGAAGUGAAGUAUCCCCACACAUGCUAUGCGAUAGAAGAAGAAAUAGUUCGUUGCUUAACAGAAUGGGGCAUAAGGGGCAAAUUAUUCACUUUGACACUAGAUAAUGCCAGCAAUAAUACUAAUGCAUGUGAGGAGUUAAUAAAAUAUCACAAACAUGAGCUGCUACUUGAAGGUCAACAUUUGCAUGUCAGGUGUUGUGCACACAUUCUUAAUAUCUUGGUUCAGGAUGGAAUAAAAAUAAUCCAUGAAGCUAUUGACAUGAUACGUGAGCCGCUGAAGUAUAUUGACUCUUCUCCUUCAAGACUUCCAGAUUUUAAUACAAUUGCAAGUGGGAUGGGUCUGCCUUCAAAAAAAGGUAUCACUAUUGAUGGAACUCAACCUGGAAAAUGCUUGUAG
Molecule: ribosomal RNA, 432 nt
Filed under: Triticum aestivum (bread wheat)
Lineage: Eukaryota; Viridiplantae; Streptophyta; Magnoliopsida; Poales; Poaceae
Description: partial small subunit ribosomal RNA
Source: RNAcentral